Molecule: ribosomal RNA, 253 nt
Filed under: uncultured bacterium
Lineage: Bacteria
Description: partial 16S ribosomal RNA
Rfam family: Bacterial small subunit ribosomal RNA
Source: RNAcentral
UACGUAGGGUGCGAGCGUUGUCCGGAAUUAUUGGGCGUAAAGCGCUCGUAGGCGGCUUGUCGCGUCGGAUGUGAAAGCCCGGGGCUUAACUCCGGGUCUGCAUUCGAUACGGGCAGGCUAGAGUUCGGUAGGGGAGAUCGGAAUUCCUGGUGUAGCGGUGAAAUGCGCAGAUAUCAGGAGGAACACCGGUGGCGAAGGCGGAUCUCUGGGCCGAUACUGACGCUGAGGCGCGAAAGCUAGGGGAGCAAACGGG